UGGAAGUAAAAAGUCGUAACAAGGUCUCCGUUGGUGAACCAGCGGAGGGAUCAUUACCGAGUUUACAACUCCCAAACCCCUGUGAACAUACCAAUUGUUGCCUCGGCGGAUCAGCCCGCUCCCGGUAAAACGGGACGGCCCGCCAGAGGACCCCUAAACUCUGUUUCUAUAUGUAACUUCUGAGUAAAACCAUAAAUAAAUCAAAACUUUCAACAACGGAUCUCUUGGUUCUGGCAUCGAUGAAGAACGCAGCAAAAUGCGAUAAGUAAUGUGAAUUGCAGAAUUCAGUGAAUCAUCGAAUCUUUGAACGCACAUUGCGCCCGCCAGUAUUCUGGCGGGCAUGCCUGUUCGAGCGUCAUUUCAACCCUCAAGCCCUCGGGUUUGGUGUUGGGGAUCGGCGAGCCCUUGCGGCAAGCCGGCCCCGAAAUCUAGUGGCGGUCUCGCUGCAGCUUCCAUUGCGUAGUAGUAAAACCCUCGCAACUGGUACGCGGCGCGGCCAAGCCGUUAAACCCCCAACUUCUGAAUGUUGACCUCGGAUCAGGUAGGAAUACCCGCUGAACUUAAGCAUAUCAAUAAGGCGG
RNAcentral lists this ribosomal RNA (581 nucleotides) under Fusarium sp. BPEF75. Its description in RNAcentral is "eukaryotic LSU rRNA". The stretch from base 205 to 358 matches the Rfam family "5.8S ribosomal RNA". The record is from RNAcentral. Lineage: Eukaryota; Fungi; Ascomycota; Sordariomycetes; Hypocreales; Nectriaceae.